UACAGAGGUGGCAAGCGUUGUUCGGAAUUACUGGGCGUAAAGGGCGCGUAGGCGGCCUUCUAAGUCAGACGUGAAAUCCCCCGGCUUAACCUGGGAACUGCGUCUGAUACUGGAAGGCUUGAGUGCGGGAGAGGGAUGUGGAAUUCCAGGUGUAGCGGUGAAAUGCGUAGAUAUCUGGAGGAACACCGGUGGCGAAGGCGGCAUCCUGGACCAUUACUGACGCUGAGGAGCGAAAGCCAGGGGAGCAAACGGG
This 253-nucleotide ribosomal RNA is filed under the name uncultured bacterium. RNAcentral's name for it is "partial 16S ribosomal RNA". It matches the Rfam family "Bacterial small subunit ribosomal RNA", at positions 524 to 776 of the family's 1533-position model. The record is from RNAcentral.